AGCGGCGGAUGGGUGAGUAACACGUGGGGAACCUGCCCCUAAGUCUGGGAUACCAUUUGGAAACAGGUGCUAAUACCGGAUAAUAAAGCAGAUCGCAUGAUCAGCUUUUGAAAGGCGGCGUAAGCUGUCGCUAAGGGAUGGCCCCGCGGUGCAUUAGCUAGUUGGUAAGGUAACGGCUUACCAAGGCGACGAUGCAUAGCCGAGUUGAGAGACUGAUCGGCCACAUUGGGACUGAGACACGGCCCAAACUCCUACGGGAGGCAGCAGUAGGGAAUCUUCCACAAUGGACGCAAGUCUGAUGGAGCAACGCCGCGUGAGUGAAGAAGGUUUUCGGAUCGUAAAGCUCUGUUGUUGGUGAAGAAGGAUAGAGGUAGUAACUGGCCUUUAUUUGACGGUAAUCAACCAGAAAGUCACGGCUAACUACGUGCCAGCAGCCGCGGUAAUACGUAGGUGGCAAGCGUUGUCCGGAUUUAUUGGGCGUAAAGCGAGCGCAGGCGGAAAAAUAAGUCUAAUGUGAAAGCCCUCGGCUUAACCGAGGAACUGCAUCGGAAGCUGUUUUUCUUGAGUGCAGAAGAGGAGAGUGGAACUCCAUGUGUAGCGGUGGAAUGCGUAGAUAUAUGGAAGAACACCAGUGGCGAAGGCGGCUCUCUGGUCUGCAACUGACGCUGAGGCUCGAAAGCAUGGGUAGCGAACAGGAUUAGAUACCCUGGUAGUCCAUGCCGUAAACGAUGAGUGCUAAGUGU
This 743-nucleotide ribosomal RNA is filed under the name uncultured bacterium. Its description in RNAcentral is "bacterial SSU rRNA". It matches the Rfam family "Bacterial small subunit ribosomal RNA", at positions 94 to 823 of the family's 1533-position model. The record is from RNAcentral.